CAUCAUAACAUGACCAUUGUAUGCUGGAAUGUUAGAAACCAAUGCAGAAACACUAAAACAUCGUUUUUGAGCUUUUCAGGUCAUAAGAACACUAGUUUAAAGCACGGCAUAUGCAACUGUACAUUUAGGAUGCAUUGAGCUGUUUAAAGUAUCCUGCCAUCAUAACAUGACCAUUAUGAGCUGGAAUGUUAGAAACCAAUGCAGAAACACUAAAACAUCGUUUUUGAGCUUUUCAGGCUGUAGAAUUACUAGUUUAAACCACGGCAAUGCAUUGGUGCUUUUAUGAUGUUUUGGGCAGUUUUAAAGUAGCCUGGCCUCAGAACAUCAUAUUUGAAAGCUGAUUUGAUGGAAACCAAUGAGGAAACACUAAAACAUCGUUUUUUAGCUUUUCAGGCUAUAAGAAAACUAGUUUAAACCACGGCAUUUGCAACUGUGCUUUUAUGUUGUACUGAGCUGUUUAAAGUAUCCUGCCAUCAUAACAUGACCAUUAUGAGCUGGAAUGUUAGAAACCAAUGCAGAAACACUAAAACAUCGUUUUUGAGCUUUUCAGGCCGUAGAAACACUAGUUCAAACCACGACAAUGCAACGUUGCUUUUAUGAUGUAUUGAGCAGUUUUAAAGUAGCCUGGCCUCAGAACAUGAUCUUUGAAAGCUGAUCUGAUGGAAACCAAUGCAGAAACACUAAAACAUCGUUUCUGAGCUGUAGAAACACUAGUUCAAACCAAGCCAAUUGCAACUGUACAUUUAGGAUGCAUUAAGA
This 759-nucleotide long non-coding RNA is filed under the name Betta splendens (Siamese fighting fish). RNAcentral describes it as "lncRNA (ENSBSLG00000003933.1)". Lineage: Eukaryota; Metazoa; Chordata; Actinopteri; Anabantiformes; Osphronemidae. The record is from RNAcentral.